Molecule: ribosomal RNA, 420 nt
Filed under: uncultured archaeon
Lineage: Archaea
Description: partial 16S ribosomal RNA
Rfam family: Archaeal small subunit ribosomal RNA
Source: RNAcentral
CUACGGGCCGCUCCAGGUAGGAAUAAUCUUCAAUGCACGCAAGUGUGAAAGUUUGAGUCAGAGUGCUCCUCAUUGAGGAGCUUUUGCCAGAUGUAAAAAGUCUGGCGAAUAAGGACUGGGCAAGACGAGUGCCAGCCGCCGCGGUAAUACUCGCGGUCCAAGUCGCAGCCAUAUUUAUUGGGUCUAAAACAUCCGUAGCUUGCCGGAUAAGUUCCUUGUGAAAUCUCAUCCCUCAAAGAUGGGGCGCGCAGGGAAUACUACCCGGCUAGAGACUGGGAGACGGAAGAAGUACAUUCAGAGUAACGGUUAAAUGUGUUGAUCCUGAGUGGACUAACAAUAGCGAAGGCAUCUUCCGAGAACAGUUCUGACAGUCAGGGAUGAAGGCUCGGGGCGCAAAACGGAUUAGAUACCCUCGUAGUC